UGCUUGAGGAGGCCGUGUAAGUCAUAGCUGGUGGGGGUUGUGUUGGCUCAUUCUCCCCUUUCCCAGCGAGGCAACCUGCGCCCUUCAGCCCCCCAUUCCUGCGUGGCAUCUGCCUCGUGCUACUCAGCGCUUCAUAGGGACCCCCAAUGGGGCAGUGCCCCCCUCACUGCUGUAGGGCCUCCCACCUGCCCACUUUCCUCUGGGACUGGUCCCCUAUCUUCCCUCCCUGCCCCAGCACAGGUCUUCUCCACCCCACCUCACCUCGGGUGACCAGAUGUCCUGCUUUUAUAGGGACAAUCCCAAUAUUUGGGUUUUUUCUUCUAUUACCCCUCACCGCCUCUCCUGGUUUUUCACACUUGCUGUCUGGUUACCCUAAUCCCCCACCACCCACCCACACAAUUAAGGUUUGUGUUCACUAACAGAAAGUGCAUUGUUUACUCCAGGCUACCUGCGGCGGAGUAGCGAGCCUGCUGUAACUCCUCGUAGAAAUGAGGUGUUAUGGUCUUUAUGACAAGGUAGCUAGAGGAGUUGAACCACAGGCCAGGGUAUAGUGCUGAACGUGUCUAGCUCCGUGGGAAAAACAACAAAAUCCACUACAAUUUUCCAGCUGGGAAAAUCAUCUUUUUGUGGUGAAGACAAAGCCUGAGUGGGACAGGGUUCUUCCUCCUGCACCCGUAUUUGCUCUUUUGCCUAUCAGCCAUUAAAGCAAUGUCACUCCACUCCCCCUCUGCUGUAUGUCAGGAACUUAUUUAUUAAUUUAGUAUUUGCAUAUUUGCCAGGCAAUAGCAUUUUUAGUGGCCAAGUGGAGCUCAUUGCUGAAUUUGGUUAGCAAGCACUCCUUGACAAUGUAUAUUAGUGUUCGAUCUGCACCACAGCUUGGAUUGUCUCGAAGACCUCAACGGUGCUGGUUGGCUGCACAAAGGCCUUGCCCAGUCCGGAAUCAGUUAAGAAAGACCCACUGACGACAUGGUAUGUCAAAGCCAGACGGGUGAGCAGUAGCGCCUGUGACAAGGUACUGAUUGGUGGUUGAUGCUAAGCAGCAGUCUUCCCGCCACAGGGACUCCACUGUCACCUCCUGUCAUGGCAGCCUCAAGCACACAUGUCAUACAUCCAGACUGGAGGUACUAUUCAGCUGAAUCAGCUAACAUUUCUACAGCACUUUAAUAAUGUGAAGCAGCGAGUUCUCUGAGGAGAGGGGAAGAAAAAAAAAUCUUUAUGCCAAAGGAAGAUUUAAAUCUUCAAAUUACUUUCUUCAUCCUAAGCAGGAAAAAAACCCAUUACGGUAACUAAAUCACAUUGCAGUCGAUUAUGAUCCCACAGAUGGCAUGUACUGCAACAGGGCCAUAAUGGCAAAGAGAAAUGAGGUAUGCAGUCCAGCCCACUCUUAAUAACAUGUCUGAAGGGGGAUAGGACAUGUUUGUUACUAGAUCGAUUGUGCAAAUUUAGCUUGUUUCUUCUUUCUACUCCAUUUGGUAGCAUUCUCGGGGAAAACAUAUAGUCUGUACAUGUUAAUA
This is a long non-coding RNA of Gopherus flavomarginatus (Mexican gopher tortoise), 1514 nucleotides long. RefSeq lists it as uncharacterized. The record is from RefSeq and is a predicted model, not a curated record. NCBI's taxonomy places the organism in Eukaryota, Metazoa, Chordata, Testudines, Testudinidae. The transcript has 3 exons.